GGUGAGUAACGCGUGGGGAAUCUACCUCUUUGUGGGGAAUAACGCUCCGAAAGGAGUGGUAAUACCGCAUGAGACCAAUGGCUGGAAUGUUGUUGGUGAAACCUGGGGGCCGCAAGGCCUGGGGCAAGGAGAGGAUCCUGCGUCUGAUUAGCUAGUUGGCGGGGUAACGGCCCACCAAGGCGACGAUCAGUAACCGGCCUGAGAGGAUGAUCGGCCACACUGGAACUGAGACACGGUCCAGACUCCUACGGGAGGCAGCAGUGGGGAAUUUUGCGCAAUGGGCGAAAGCCUGACGCAGCAACGCCGCGUGGGUGAUGAAGGUCUUCGGAUCGUAAAACCCUGUCGUCAGGGACGAAGGUAGGGGUGUUAACAGCAUCCUUGCUUGACGGUACCUGGAGAGGAAGCCCCGGCUAACUCUGUGCCAGCAGCCGCGGUAAUACAGAGGGGGCAAGCGUUAUUCGGAAUUAUUGGGCGUAAAGGGCGCGU
RNAcentral lists this ribosomal RNA (486 nucleotides) under uncultured Pseudomonadota bacterium. RNAcentral's name for it is "bacterial SSU rRNA". It matches the Rfam family "Bacterial small subunit ribosomal RNA", at positions 105 to 572 of the family's 1533-position model. The record is from RNAcentral. Lineage: Bacteria; Pseudomonadati; Pseudomonadota.